AACGCACAUUGCGCCCUUCGGUAUUCCGUUGGGCAUGCCUGUUCGAGCGUCAUUUAAACCUUCAAGCUCUGCUUGGUGUUGGGUGUUUGUUCCGCCUCUGCGCGUGGACUCGCCUCAAAUCUAUUGGCAGCCGGUCAGUUGGCUUUCGCGCGCAGCACAUUGCGUAGCGGCUCCAGCUUGCCUCCUACCAUUAAGCUAUUCUACAUCUUUUGACCUCGGAUCAGGUAGGGAUACCCGCUGAACUUAA
RNAcentral lists this unclassified non-coding RNA (247 nucleotides) under uncultured fungus. RNAcentral's name for it is "partial contains 5.8S ribosomal RNA, internal transcribed spacer 2, and large subunit ribosomal RNA". The record is from RNAcentral. Lineage: Eukaryota; Fungi.